Molecule: ribosomal RNA, 842 nt
Filed under: uncultured archaeon
Lineage: Archaea
Description: bacterial SSU rRNA
Rfam family: Archaeal small subunit ribosomal RNA
Source: RNAcentral
GCGAGUCAUUGUAGCAAUACAAGGCAGACGGCUCAGUAACGCGUAGUCAAUCUACCCUAUGGACGGGAAUAACCUCGGGAAACUGAGAAUAAUGCCCGACAGAACAUUAUACCUGGAACGGUUUAUGUUUCAAAUGAUUUAUCGCCGUAGGAUGGGACUGCGGCCUAUCAGUUUGUUGGUGAGGUAAUGGCCCACCAAGACUAUUACAGGUACGGGCUCUGAGAGGGGUAGCCCGGAGAUGGGUACUGAGACACGGACCCAGGCCCUAUGGGGCGCAGCAGGCGAGAAAACUUUGCAAUGUGCGAAAGCACGACAAGGUUAAUCCGAGUGGUUUCUGCUAAAGAAACCUUUUGCUAGUCCUAGAAACACUAGUGAAUAAGGGGUGGGCAAGUUCUGGUGUCAGCCGCCGCGGUAAAACCAGCACCUCAAGUGGUCAGGAUGAUUAUUGGGCCUAAAGCAUCCGUAGCUCGUUUUGUAAGUUUUCGGUUAAAUCCAUACGCUUAACGUAUGGGCUGCCGGGAAUACUGCAUAACUAGGAAGUGGGAGAGGUAGACGGUACUCGGUAGGAAGGGGUAAAAUCCUUUGAUCUAUUGAUGACCACCUGUGGCGAAGGCGGUCUACCAGAACACGUUCGACGGUGAGGGAUGAAAGCUGGGGGAGCAAACCGGAUUAGAUACCCGGGUAGUCCCAGCUGUAAACUAUGCAAACUCAGUGAUGCAUUGGCUUGUGGCCAAUGCAGUGCUGCAGGGAAGCCGUUAAGUUUGCCGCCUGGGAAGUACGUACGCAAGUAUGAAACUUAAAGGAAUUGGCGGGGGAGCGCCACAAGGGGUGAAGCCUGCGGU